This is a long non-coding RNA of Argiope bruennichi, 3223 nucleotides long. RefSeq lists it as uncharacterized. NCBI's taxonomy places the organism in Eukaryota, Metazoa, Arthropoda, Arachnida, Araneae, Araneidae. The record is from RefSeq and is a predicted model, not a curated record. The transcript has 4 exons.
UUUCGCUUAAAGUGUUUCUGGGGUAUGAUUAGUAGAAAGGUGGUUGUUCCAUGUUCUAUUGAGCGUACUAUAAAUCUUAGUAGCCGGAAAUCCUAAUGGCGAAGCAAACUUUCCUUAUAUUGAUAUUUCGAAUGGAGUCGCUUUGGUUGAAUUUAAAAUAGGAUCUGAAAGCUGCAACUUUAAAGCGAAUAGUAUUAUGAAGGUUCUAUACAUUCAAUUUUUGAAAAAAGACCGCAUCAAGUGACAUUUCACCCGAAAAUGACCCUUCCAGAUGUUGCUCAAGUUUUCUCAAGAAAUUUGAAAUGACUCGUCUGAAGCCAUUGUGGAUGAGUUUAGAAAGGAUACCAGCUACCUGCCACUUCAAAUACUACUAGGCAUGAUAUAUCCAAUCUAUGAAGAUGGAAAACUUCAAACCUACCCUUCACUUGAGGUAUAAUCUGAAUGUUGGCCGGAUAUUUUCCCUUAAAGGAAUUGGGAACUGUUCAGCUCGCCGAAUUUGAAUGGAUGAUGGAUGCAGAAGUGAAUUAACUUGUAUACGAUUUAAUAUAAAGAAUUGUCCGGCUCCCUAAUUGGAUUUUCAUCUGCGUGGAAUGUCAUUGGUUUCAACAAACCAUGUACUGUCUGGCAUUGGUACUUUUCUUAUUUAAAAUGAAUAAAUUGUAACAGAUAAUGUAAUCGAGUUCAUGUAGUUAAAUUCGUUAAUUGAAUUGAGUGAGUAACUAUAAAACGAUAUUGAAUGUUGGGAACUUCAUUGAAUUCAUAGUAAACUAAUGAAAUUAAGUUUUAAAUUUCUAGUUACCUUAAAUUUGCUUUCUUUAGCUAAAUUGGCUUCAAAUGAAAUGGAUACAGCUAUUGAAAACUAUAAUUGUAUACAGAUAAAAAUUAGUAUUUGUAUUCGUAGUAGUUGUAUGCUUAAUGUACAUGUUCGAUUCCAAGUCGCUGAAUUUUUCGGAUGUUUCAGGUUUAUACUCGUAUUACAUGUACUAUAUUACGUUAGAACCUCCAAUGAUUAAAAUCUGGCUAUAAAUAUUUAAUUUCAAAUAGUUCAUGGGUUUAAUCUAACUAUACGUCAAAAAGUUUAAAUGCGUUAAUAUAAUCUUUUCAGAGAUUAGUUAGGGGAAAAUUUACUACAGUAAUAUUUGCAUAUUAUAGAUUCUCGGUAUGAAACUUUAAGACGUUCUAAAUCUCGUUUCUUUUCGAUCCCUUAAUUAUACGCAAGCUAUUCAGCUGAGCAAAUUUGUCUUUGAAAUUCGAUUCAAUUUAAGAUUUGUAUAAAUCGUGACUUAUAAUGAAAAUUAGCAAUCCUUUAUUUUAAUUUUGAAUCGUUAUCGAUAGUUGUAAAUACCAAUGUUGAAAGUAUAAAUUGCACUUGCCUGGCUCUUCCACGAAUUUCAUGGGGGAAAUGAGUUCGAGAGUGUAAGAAAAGGGUCUCGGAAAAUGGGAUGGAGGGUAACGCGCCAAGUAAUGCUUUUCCCUGUAACUUUCCGUUUAGGCAGUUUGGGACCGGCUGUCUAAAUGGAAAGUUGCGGUCCCCAGGGAAACGGUACUUGGCGUGUUAGCAAGGUGACGGUAGUACUGGGAAAGGAAAUCGAGUUAGAUGGGUUAUAGCUUUGUAGGCGAGCCAGGCUAAAUUUGGAGAUAUCUAUAAUUAGAUGUAUUCAUAAAAAACCUAAUCAAAGGGGGGUGAAAUUUUGAGAAAUUGGAAAAUUCUCAAGUGCAGUUUAUAAUGGAGGCAUUGGUUGCACUAUUGAAAAAUUUUCCGUAUCAUCUUAAUUUUGUGUAGCUAAGACUUCUGGAAAUUAGAAUUUUCAGAUUAAUGAGAUUAGCCAGAUUAACAUACUUAAAUAGUAAAGAAAAUAGUUAUAUCAAAUUUACAAUCUUUAUCAAUUACAAUAGUUAUAUCAAAAGUACAAAAAUGAAUGUUAAAAUCGAUUUAAUGCAAUAUUGAUACGUUCAUCGUUAAAGAACCUUUCAACAAACUUCUGGCACCUGACUAAUUAGAAGUCGUUUGAAAAAAAAUUAUGAAAACUCGGUUUAGCUCCUACUUUAAUCUUUUAUUUUAAGAUAGUUGCAAAUCGUAUAAUUUAAUUAAAAUCGGAUUUAUGUUGAGAUUUUAACAUUUCUACAUUAAAUUCGUCUUGCUUGAUUUAUUUUGAACUGAAAUUUACAAUAGUUUUCUGAAUUCAUUUUUUAUUGAGCUUGCAGUUUUAACGCUUCGCAAUAAUUCCUUUAAACGUCCCUUAACCUGGAUAAUCACUGUUCAAUUCAAAUAGGUUCCGAAAUUAAAGGUUUCAAAUUAAACGGCAUUCACUUAUUGCUCAAUUUUUCUUCGUUGACACUUAAUUUCCUAGCAAAUACAUUGAAACAAUAUAUAUUAAAUUCUAAGUAUUAAACAAAUAUUAUUCUAGCGAAGUAGGUCUUAAACCAGUAGGGAGAAGCUUGGAAUCGAACAGGAAAAAAUAUAUUGAAUUGUAAAAGAAAUGUUUCAUUCAACUUCUAAAUGGGUUGUAAUUUUCAGCGUCGCGAAAUUUCUCAAGUAAAUUAUUAGAAUCGUUUGUUUCAUUUGAAGCAUUUAAAAUAUGAAAGAAAACGUAAUUUAGUUUUAUGAAUGACAAAUUUUAAUAACUGAAGUAUUUUAGAGAAAUGUAAAAUGUUUUGUAGGUAAUCUUUUUUUCCACUCGUAAUUCGUACCUAAAAUUGUAAUGCAUGCUCUAGCAUCAACUUCUCAUAGUGUUUAUAAAUUCUAUUUUCUUGGAAAAUGCAUAUUUUUUUAAACAAAGUACGUUUUAUUAGAUCGUCUAUAUAAUUGAAGUUCCCUUGCAAAUGUUGUCAUUCUACAGGAUUUAAGCAAAUAUAUUAUGUUUAAACUUUGUAAACUAAAUCUUGUAUAUUUUCAGUAAUCAUUGACUUUAAGAUCCUAGAACAAGUGUUGUAAACCUCGAGUCUUGAGGUAACCACUCGUAUGAACAGUGAAUAGUUGUCAAUUUGAAUGGAUGUUCAACAUUGUUUCCGACGAAUGCUUGAUUGCGCCUAAAUGCAAGAUUUGUUCAUGUGCUGAAAGGUAGUUUUGUUCUCUUGUAAAACAUAAUUAUUCUUUGUGAAUGUAUAUUGAAAAUUGUGAGCUAGCAUUUCCAGGUUGGACGGUGUAUAUUAGUAGAUCGAAUUAAAUUUUUAAAACUAAAUCCGUAAAAUUUCAGAGGCAUAAUUAUCUAUUUUAAUUAGU